CUAAUGUUAGCAGUGACAAACCUUUUCAGAUGAGGUCAAGUGGCUGCUGUUGGCGCUCAAUGGCCAAUUCUGUUAACAACUGGCGUCUACUGACUGAGGUAGAUCUGGGAAAGAGGUCUGACACCAGGAAACCAAACAGAUCACCAGACAUCAGCAUCCUACCUUUCCUCCGAGUUCCUCAGGACA
Molecule: long non-coding RNA, 186 nt
Organism: Hippoglossus stenolepis (Pacific halibut)
Lineage: Eukaryota; Metazoa; Chordata; Actinopteri; Pleuronectiformes; Pleuronectidae
Exons: 3
Source: RefSeq, a predicted model, not a curated record